GGAAACCCGUCGAGGUAAGGUCUAACCAACCGCCUUGUACCGAGUCCUUGGAGCCGAAGUGGUAACAUCAGGUUUAAGCGUAGGACAGGGAGCAACAGAGCCGAAACGAAAGCGAAGUGAUUGAGCUGGGAAAUUAUUAUUUAGUUGGAUUAGGUCGAUGCGUUUAUACUCGUAGCAGACAAUAUUGCUUAACUCGAUAGGGUGAGAGUUGAGGAACUACCCCCAGUCUGAGAGCU
Fusibacter sp. 3D3 is the source of this 236-nucleotide non-coding RNA. Lineage: Bacteria; Bacillati; Bacillota; Clostridia; Eubacteriales; Fusibacteraceae. The record is from Rfam.